Haemorhous mexicanus (house finch) is the source of this 507-nucleotide non-coding RNA. NCBI's taxonomy places the organism in Eukaryota, Metazoa, Chordata, Aves, Passeriformes, Fringillidae. The record is from the annotation of a RefSeq genome assembly.
AUGGGGAUGGGAAACCUGAUUGGUCGAGGGCCUCAAAGGGCCGUGACCCUGCUGGAGUGCGGGGGGGACCUUCAGCCCCCCGGGGGGUCCCUGCGCCUCCUCUGCCGAGGGUCCGGGUUUGAUUUCGGCCAAUUUGGGAUGGGCUGGAUGCGCCAGAGACCCGGGCAGGGGCUGGAAUACGUCGCGGGGAUUAAGAGUGAUGGCAGCACCGCGUACGCGCCGUCAGUGCGGGGCAGGGUCAGGAUCUCCAGGGACAACGGGCAGAGCUCGGUGACGCUGACCAUGACCGACCUCCGGGACGAGGAUUCCGGAUCCUAUUUCUGUGCCAAGCGAGCUUACGCUGAUAAUUGGGAUCUUGGUGCUAAUUUUGUAGACUCCAGUGCUGGAUCCGCCCCCAUCUCAGUGUCCCCACCUGUCCCCAAACCCAGACCCUUCCCCAAAUCUCAGCCAUUACCCCUUGUCCCAAAUCUCCCUCAUUUGCACCAACGGUGACCGCUGACCCCAAAC